Heterocephalus glaber (naked mole-rat) is the source of this 116-nucleotide small nuclear RNA. Its record names the gene U4. It matches the Rfam family "U4 spliceosomal RNA". From Rfam's summary of the family: U4 small nuclear RNA (U4 snRNA) is a component of the major U2-dependent spliceosome. NCBI's taxonomy places the organism in Eukaryota, Metazoa, Chordata, Mammalia, Rodentia, Bathyergidae. The record is from Ensembl.
AGCUUUGCACGGUGGCAGUAUCAUAGCCAAUGAGGUUUAUCCGAGGCACGAUUAUUGCUAAUUAAACCAGAGCUGGAGGUCUUCUUUUUCUUUAUUUUUAAAAUUUAUUUUCAGUG